UGAGGAAUAUUGGUCAAUGGGCGCAGGCCUGAACCAGCCAAGUCGCGUGAGGGAGGACGGUCCUACGGAUUGUAAACUUCUUUUAUCAGGGACGAAGAAAGUGACGGUACCUGAUGAAUAAGCCACGGCUAACUACGUGCCAGCAGCCGCGGUAAUACGUAGGUGGCAAGCGUUAUCCGGAUUUACUGGGUGUAAAGGGCGCGUAGGCGGGGAUGCAAGUCAGAUGUGAAAUCUAUGGGCUUAACCCAUAAACUGCAUUUGAAACUGUAUCUCUUGAGUGUCGGAGAGGUAGACGGAAUUCCUAGUGUAGCGGUGAAAUGCGUAGAUAUUAGGAGGAACACCAGUGGCGAAGGCGGUCUACUGGACGAUAACUGACGCUGAGGCGCGAAAGCGUGGGGAGCAAACAGGAUUAGAUACCCUGGUAGU
Molecule: ribosomal RNA, 426 nt
Filed under: uncultured Oscillospiraceae bacterium
Lineage: Bacteria; Bacillati; Bacillota; Clostridia; Eubacteriales; Oscillospiraceae
Description: bacterial SSU rRNA
Rfam family: Bacterial small subunit ribosomal RNA
Source: RNAcentral